Molecule: ribosomal RNA, 253 nt
Filed under: uncultured bacterium
Lineage: Bacteria
Description: partial 16S ribosomal RNA
Rfam family: Bacterial small subunit ribosomal RNA
Source: RNAcentral
UACGAAGGGUGCAAGCGUUACUCGGAAUUACUGGGCGUAAAGGGCGCGUAGGCGGUUCGCUAAGUUGAAUGUGAAAACUCUGGGCUUAACCCAGAGCCUGCAUUCAAUACUGGCGGGCUAGAGUUCUGGAGGGGAUAGCGGAAUUCCUGGUGUAGCGGUGAAAUGCGUAGAUAUCAGGAGGAACACCGGUGGCGAAGGCGGCUAUCUGGACAGAGUCUGACGCUGAGGCGCGAAAGCUAGGGGAGCAAACAGG